CAUGCAAUACGAGAAGUGCAGAAGAGGAGACUCUCCCAUGUGGUCAUCUACAAAUGGUGAACAGGGCCCCAGAUGAAGGCUUCUAUUAGGAUUUCUUGAAGUCACAGCGAUAUUAUGGACAUCUAUGGCCUUAGGAAAUGAGCCAGGCUAAGUGUAGCCACAGAUGAGGCGUGGGGGUGGAGAAGACAGACCCCGCCUGCAUCCACCAGAGGUAAAAGGCUGGAAGGAAAACGCAGGUUCUUCGAGAGGCAGUUUUUAAAUCAUGUUUAUUGAAGACUCAGCUACGUCAGUUGUUUGUUAAAAGAUCUAUUGACUUCAAG
Microcebus murinus (gray mouse lemur) is the source of this 320-nucleotide non-coding RNA. NCBI's taxonomy places the organism in Eukaryota, Metazoa, Chordata, Mammalia, Primates, Cheirogaleidae. The record is from RefSeq and is a predicted model, not a curated record.